RNAcentral lists this ribosomal RNA (403 nucleotides) under uncultured bacterium. Its description in RNAcentral is "bacterial SSU rRNA". It matches the Rfam family "Bacterial small subunit ribosomal RNA", at positions 917 to 1322 of the family's 1533-position model. The record is from RNAcentral.
GGGCCCGCACAAGCGGUGGAGCAUGUGGUUUAAUUCGAUGCAACGCGAAGAACCUUACCAGGCCUUGACAUCUAGCGAACUUUCCAGAGAUAGAUUGGUGCCUUCGGGAACCGAGUGACAGGUGGUGCAUGGCUGUCGUCAGCUCGUGUCGUGAGAUGUUGGGUUAAGUCCCGCAACGAGCGCAACCCACGUCUUUAGUUGCCAGCAUUUAGUUGGGCACUCUAGAGAGACCGCCGGUGAUAAACCGGAGGAAGGUGUGGAUGACGUCAAGUCAUCAUGCCCCUUACAUCCUGGGCUACACACGUACUACAAUGGCAGUGACAAUGAGAUGCUAAACAGCGAUGUUAAGCUAAACUCAAAAACCUGCCUCAGUUCGGAUUGCACUCUGCAACUCGAGUGCAUG